This 372-nucleotide unclassified non-coding RNA is filed under the name Hevea brasiliensis (rubber tree). Lineage: Eukaryota; Viridiplantae; Streptophyta; Magnoliopsida; Malpighiales; Euphorbiaceae. The record is from RNAcentral.
UCGGACGCAGCCUUGCCGCUCUUCGUAUCCGGGGCGGUUUCAGCGCCCUUCGACUUAAUUCCAUCCUUGGUGCUGUCCUGAGCACGCUGGGCAUUCCCGCCCUCGCGNCAUCUGGGCCUGGCCGCCCUUCAUCUCACCGGAUGGCGCGGCCUUGUCAGCAGGCGCGCCCGCAGAUGGCGCUGUCUGCGACGCGGCAGGUGCGUUUGGAGCAUUGCCCGGAGCCUGCGCCGAAACCAGUCCCGCACUGCCGAUCAGGGCGGCCGUCGCGACCGUCAUCAAAAGCUUGGUCUUCAUAUUAUCCUCCUCGUUGUCUGCCCAAUCCUCAACGAGAAGCCAUCGGCUCUGUUCCGUGUAAAAAUGUUAUGUUGCGUG